This 25-nucleotide transfer RNA is filed under the name Chiasmocleis carvalhoi (central humming frog). RNAcentral describes it as "partial tRNA-Phe". Lineage: Eukaryota; Metazoa; Chordata; Amphibia; Anura; Microhylidae. The record is from RNAcentral.
GGCCCUAGAAAGCCCUGCAAGCACA